AAAGUCUUCAGAAAGUAUAGCAUCUAGUUCUAUUUUACUUUCGUGAUUGUUUUGAUUUCAAGUCAAAGAUGGGAUUUGGAGACAGCUCGAUUUGCUAUAAAAUAGCGACUGUUGUUUCUGGGUUCGGUCUUUUAUUCUUUAUUAUUGGAUAUUCGACGGACAAUUGGUUUGACAUUGAAUCAGGGGAUACAAAGGGAUCAUAUGGAUUGUGGGGAUGGGCGCUCGAAAUCAAGGGUGAUGAAAGAGAAGGAACGAAAUCGGAGAGUGGUAAAAUUUCAAGUACUGUAAAAUUACUAUAUGAUUUCGACUUUAAAUUAAGUGAAGCCAUAAAGUUAGGGAGAGUAUUUGGUAUAAUGGGUUUGGUCGCCGCUGCAGUUUGUAUUGCUCUUCUCUUAGUUUAUAUGUUUUCUAUAAAGAAACAAUUGAUAAAAACAUUGACCCUUACCGCUGGUAUUGGAUCCAGUUUACUUUUCUUGGUGGGAGUCAUAGUGAUGAGUGUGGAUGUUACAAUCGAGUGCAUUUUUAAAACGGCGAUAAUUAGUUUUGGUUAUUCAUUCUGGUUAGCAAUGGUUGGUGGAAUUCUCUACUGGGCAGUAGGAAUCUUGAUCAUAGUGGAUAUUAAGUUAUCUGAACGCCAACCAGAGAACCUGCAUGAAUAAAAAUCUGAUCAAUCUGAUUAAAACACAGACCCUAUUUCGUUUCGUUUUUUAUAGUUCAAAAUUUUGUUUUACUUGUCUUUACUACACUAGGAUCAAUCUGCUUCACAGAGGAUUACGAAAGUCUUCUAAUAUCUCUGUAAAAGAAUACCUUCAACACGUGAUGUCACAUCACGCGGCGUCAAUCAUUGGCUCAAUGGUGCGUGCACUGUUUACGUAAGGCAUUACUGGUUCAGGUAGAAUGGUGUCUUUUACUCAUUUUAAUACCCAUUUACACUAAAUAGGAAAUAAUUUUUACCUACAAAUAUGUCAAAUGUCUUUAUUUAUUUUUCUAAUACAUAAGAAAAAAUGUUUAAGAAUUUAAUUUGUGGGAGGAAAAAAGUUAAUAUUUGUGGCUCAUUAAGUCGCAUCACUGUUAUCCUUAUCAGUGAUUGUAGCGGCCUAGCAAAUAUUCACGGCUGAUCAGUGUGAGCUAGGAUCUGGAAGAGUUGUUAUCAUUGACGUAUUCUGGAUGAUAGCCUUUGAAACGAUCUGUUACGGUGCACAGAAUUGUGGGUAAUCCACUAGAACAUCAAUGCUGAUUGGUAAAUCAAAUAUAUGACGUUGUAGGGUCAAAAGCCGCUCGAAUGACCUCUGACGCAACCCCCCAAAACAACUGGUCAGAGCUUCAUGUAGUUAAAGCCAUCGAAAGUAUAAAAAAAAACGAAACGAAAUAUAGAUUUGUAUUUUAAUCAGAUUGAACUCAGAUGUAAAUUACUAAAUAUUUUCCAAAAUAUAUUUCCGUUCGACCAUACUUUCCGUGCACAUUCCUAUUUUUGAAAUAAGAGGGCAUAUUGGGAUCUUUGCAUUCUGAUUAAAGGAGCUAAGUCUCUAACUCAAUAUCAUCCAAAACCUUCGACAAUGAAAACACAAAUUAUCUGUCAAUUUUAAUCAACAUUGGUGUUGUAAUCUUACUGGGAAAAGAUGGGCUUCUGAUAUCCAAUAUUUAAGACAAAAUAAACAUUUUAUGAUUGGUACACGAAUCGCGUACCAUAAUGCGUUUCAGCGCAAUUAUUAACAAGCGACUCGGAAGAACAAGGUUAGAUAUAUUCCACAAAUCUGGAGAGCAUGCGCAAUAAUUACUAUCGGUGUAGACUGGAAUAACCAGACGCUAUAGAUUGCCAUUCGAUUGAGACUUCUGGCGUAUUUCGCCGAACAUAACUGCUUUGAAAUUAGCGUAAAACGGAAACAAUUGAAUGUAAAUCAUUUUUUUUAGAUUCAUAUUACAUUAUUAUAUUCGUUGCGACCCAUUUGUGUCAAUUUGUAGAUCCCAAAUAUUAGCAACUUAGCUCCUUUAAAUCAGUUAUGUUUUAUGUUGUGUACAAAUUGUAAUCUAUCUUUAGACAGGGGUCUUGACAGUAAAAAUUUAAUAUUCAGACAAAAAGGUAUAUGCUCUUCUCUUUUUCAGAAAUGAUCUGUUGUGGUAAAAAAUAAUGUUGCAUGCUUAUAUUUGAAAAGUUCGUUGUAAUUAAUAUUUUUUUAGUUAAUAUGAGUAUUAUAA
Long non-coding RNA from Patella vulgata (common limpet), 2196 nucleotides. RefSeq lists it as uncharacterized. The transcript has 4 exons. Lineage: Eukaryota; Metazoa; Mollusca; Gastropoda; Patellidae. The record is from RefSeq and is a predicted model, not a curated record.